GAAAGGUGAGCUAAUACCCUAUACGCUANCUUUUUUUCGAAAAGGGAUAGGAAAGCCGGGUCGAGGACCUGGUACUCAAGGAGGGGCUCAUGUCCUAUCAGCUUGUUGGUGGGUAACGGCCUACCAAGGCUACACGGGUAGCUGGUCUGAGAGGAUGAUCAGCCACACUGGCACUGAGAUACGGGCCAGACUCCUACGGGAGGCAGCAGUGAGGAAUAUUGCGCAAUGGGCGAAAGCCUGACACAGCGACGCCGCGUGGGGGAUGAAGGUUUUCGGAUUGUAAACCCCUUUCAUGAGGAAAGAUAAAGUGGGUAACCACUUAGACGGUACCUCAAGAAGAAGCCACGGCUAACUUCGUG
Molecule: ribosomal RNA, 359 nt
Filed under: uncultured bacterium
Lineage: Bacteria
Description: bacterial SSU rRNA
Rfam family: Bacterial small subunit ribosomal RNA
Source: RNAcentral